UGUUGAUGAUGAGGGUAGCUCAUCAACAUCGAUUUAAACCUGUCCCAAGCUUGGUACAAGUUUUCACCACCUUUCUGCCUAAAACUCAGAAUAUCACUCCUCAGCUU
This is a non-coding RNA of Solanum tuberosum (potato), 107 nucleotides long. The record is from Rfam. Lineage: Eukaryota; Viridiplantae; Streptophyta; Magnoliopsida; Solanales; Solanaceae.